AGAACAGUCAAAAACGUACUUUUGAGCGCUACGGAUAAAGGAAAGGAAAACGGAUACAGAGAAGCACGGGCGACGGUGACGAAUAUAGCGUCAGCAAGGCAACGGCCCAGCUUCCUCCUCUGGUCCUCCCUCUUCUUCUUCCCUGUAGUAGGCGAAAUUGAAAAUGGUGGAGCUUUCUCUUACUCUGAUAAAGCCCAUUGCCUCGUUACAACAAAACAAUUAUCCUUCUCUUUCGAACAAAACCCAGUACAAUCUUCUCUCCCUCCAUCAUCCUAGAGGAAGUUCAAUCCCAAAAUCUUUUAAGCCAGCCAAACCAAGAAAACCCAGUAACAAAAUUGGAAAUAGAGAUGGACCCAUGUUACAGAAGGACCAGCUUUCAUAUCGGGACAUAGUAACUGAAAGUGAAGAAGCACAAGAGGAAGAAGAACAAGACGAAGUUGAGGAAGAAGAUGACUAUAGUCAUGAAGCAGCAAGGACGAGGUCGGUUUCUUUAUUAGGCGACGAAGAAGGAGAGGAAGAAGACAAUGAGUCAUCAACUUUCCUAUCCUUGAGUGAAAAGCCUGACCGGAAUACGGCUUGGCUCGACGAUUAUGAGACGGAGGAGCUUGAUUUUGCUAGCGAUACCACUGGCCAUCGUAGUGGAUAUGUGGCAGUGGUGGGGAAGCCAAAUGUAGGAAAAAGUACUCUUUCGAAUCAAAUGGUUGGGCAGAAGCUGUCCAUUGUUACGGAUAAGCCUCAAACCACGCGUCAUCGAAUUCUUGGUAUAUGUUCUGGCGAAGACUAUCAGAUGAUACUUUAUGACACGCCUGGUGUGAUUGAAAAAAAAAUGCAUAAGUUAGACUCAAUGAUGAUGAACAAUGUGCGCAGUGCUGCCAUAAACGCAGACUGUGUGCUGGUGGUUGUUGAUGCAUGUAAGGCGCCCCAAAAGAUUGAUGAAAUUUUAGACGAGGGUGUGGGAGAGCUGAAAGAUAAAAUACCCACUUUGUUAGUUAUGAACAAGAAGGAUCUGAUCAAACCUGGUGAAAUAGCAAAGAAACUUGAGUGGUAUGAGAAAUUUACUGAUGUUGAUGAGGUCAUUCCAGUUAGUGCCAAGUAUGGUCAUGGAGUGGAUGAUGUCAAGGAUUGGAUUUUAUCAAAACUUCCUCUCGGUCCAGCUUUUUACCCUAAGGACAUUGCUAGUGAGCACCCUGAAAGAUUUUUUCUAGCUGAAAUUGUUAGAGAAAAGAUCUUUCUUCAAUACCGAAAUGAAGUCCCUUAUGCAUGCCAGGUUAAUGUUAUUAGUUACAAAACAAGACCAAAUGCAAAAGAUUUCAUUCAAGUUGAAGUUGUUGUGGAAAAAAACUCACAGAAAAUUAUCCUCAUUGGAAAGGAAGGGAAAGCUUUGAAGCUGCUUGCAACAGCUGCUCGGCUAGACAUAGAAGAUUUCUUGCAGAAGAAAGUUUUUCUAGAGGUAACAACAUAACAGCAUCCUUCUUGAUAGUACUCAGCAGUGCUAGAAUGUCAGUGAUGAAGAAGAAAGUCCCAUAUCUUUUAGCUUUCAUACAAGUUCAAGUGAAGGUUAAAGAGGAUUGGAGGCAAAAUGAAGGGCUUUUGAAGUACUAUGGCUAUGGCGGGCAAAUUAGAGCAUUAUGACAUGUCAGACUCAAGUGCUUUUUUUAUUCGCCAUUGAUGAAUAUCUCAUGGUGCUGUUGAGGACGAAAUCCUUGUGUGCAUAGUCUCUCGGCAGCAGAUCGUUUUUUUUUUUUUGAAGUAAUCUGAUGGUAGAGGAGCAUGGCUGACGCCUUUGUAUUUUACUACUACUGUUUUAAUUUGCGACGAUGCUGUCAGUCAGAGCAAGAAUCCUCAGCCGGGGAGUGUAGAACCCAAAAGUGCCCCCAUCGGUAAAUGGUCAAUGCUUUGUGGGUCCGACCAAUACACUUUUUUCUGUUUUUGCAUGCGUCUAAUGGCGCCUUGGAUUAAUCAUCUCGUCGCCUCUAACCUCUUCUGCUUUCUCCGCCCUGAUUAUAAAAUUCUCAUCUUAAAUUGGAUUGAAUAGACGAA
RNA transcript from Coffea arabica (coffee), 2040 nucleotides. It is a transcript of the gene named GTPase ERA-like, chloroplastic, with no coding region annotated. Lineage: Eukaryota; Viridiplantae; Streptophyta; Magnoliopsida; Gentianales; Rubiaceae. The record is from RefSeq and is a predicted model, not a curated record.